AUUGAACGCUGGCGGCAUGCCUUACACAUGCAAGUCGAACGGCAGCACGGGGCAACCCUGGUGGCGAGUGGCGAACGGGUGAGUAAUACAUCGGAAUGUACCCAGUAGUGGGGGAUAACUAGUCGAAAGAUUAGCUAAUACCGCAUACGCACUAUGGUGGAAAGCGGGGGAGUCGCAAGACCUCGCGCUAUUGGAGCAGCCGAUGUCCGAUUAGGUAGUUGGUGGGGUAAAAGCCUACCAAGCCUGCGAUCGGUAACUGGUCUGAGAGGACGACCAGUCACACUGGGACUGAGACACGGCCCAGACUCCUACGGGAGGCAGCAGUGGGGAAUUUUGGACAAUGGGGGGAAACCCUGAUCCAGCAAUGCCGCGUGUGUGACGAAGGCCUUCGGGUUGUAAAG
Molecule: ribosomal RNA, 401 nt
Filed under: uncultured bacterium
Lineage: Bacteria
Description: bacterial SSU rRNA
Rfam family: Bacterial small subunit ribosomal RNA
Source: RNAcentral